CCACUCUCCCCUCUCGUCCAACAGCCGCCACCCCCAACCCUCUCGCUCCUUCUCAAUCUCUCGAUCCCCAACCACCCAGCCGCCGCCGCCACCGUCCUCCUUCCUCUUCCCCAACCCCGGCCGCCGGCAACCCCUCCCUUUCCCUACUCUCCCACGGCCGCGGUCGGAUCCGCGCUCCCCCUCGCUGAUGACCUAGACCUAGCCGCAUGGCACGGCCAUGGCCAUGGCGGCGGGCAGAUCCACCCCCUCCCCUGCUUUGUUCCCUCGACGCCUGGCGGUCAUCCCCCAUUAGGCCACCCGCAGCAGCUCACCCGCCCCUCCUCCUACUCCCCGACGCCGACGCGCUCGUUCCCCGCCUUCCCCCGCCUGAACCGCCUCCUCCUCCCUGCCGAUCCUUCGCUUCCCCGUGGCCCUAGGCCAGCGCUUUCGGUUUCUCGGCUCCCGUAGGCGAUUCCAGCAUGGUGGUCGUCGGCUCCGCGGACUCGAAGAUGAAGACGGAGGUGGAGGAGAGCGAGCUGGCCGAAGGCGAGGCGGUUCCAACCUAGCCGCCGCAGUGGGUCACCAGCACCGCGUCUCCCUCACCUCUGUCGGCCGACAGCACCAAGGGUUGCUUUCCUCCUGCCUUCAUGCGUGCCAGCAACCGGGACCUGCAGCCUCCACCACCGGUGUCGGAAUUACGUCAGGGCAGGUACAGUGGUGCUGCUGGUUCCUUGAGGCCGGGUCGAGUUGAGGUAGGGGAUAGGAAGGUUGAGCCGCUCGGGUGCUGAUCAUGUACAUCGGCGCUCCUUCCGGGGACCCAACUAAACCAAUUAUGCAAGGCUUCUCCUGCUGCUGCAUGUCUUCAUCAACCUAGUUCUUCCACAGGGAGAGAUCUAAAUCCUUCACUUGUUCACUGUGUAAUCUGCAGAUUACUUCUUCCAUUAAUCACCUAGUGCUCCUGUUAGUGACAUUCAUCUAGUAUUUUUUUUGCAAAACAUGCAAUGGUUUGGAGUAGUUUAUCAUGGCCUGAUGGAAACUUCAUGUUGUUAGCAUGUAUAUAUGUACUACUACAGCAGCCAGAAGCAAUCCAUUUUAUUAAAUGCAUCAUCUCAUUACACUAGCUACCCCAACUUGUUUGGGACUAAAGGCUUUGUUGUUGUUGUAUUCAUCUCAUUACACUAGCUAGCACAAUAUAUUAGUUAAGGCAACUCUACUACAUAUCAAUUUCCCCUACUGGAUUGGUUCUAUAUUUUUAAAUUUGUUUCGUGGUGCAUGAGCCCAACCUAAAGAAAUAUAGGCUUAUGAUGACUAUUUUCCUUCUUAAGUAAUCAUAGUUGUUGGCUUCGGUAGCUUGCUGAAUAUGUUGUAGUUAUAUAUAGAAAUGACGUGCCUUCUAUGCUUAAAUGAUUGUUUGGCUCUAUAUAAUUGUUGACAUGAAUAUCUUGACUUCCCAAACAAGUAUAGGAUUGUACCUAUGCAUACAGAUUAUCCUAACAAAACUGAAAAUAAAAAUUGAAGCAUGAAAUAAGCAAAUAAGUGGCUGAUUUUUAUUUGCAUGUUAAGCAGAAAUUUGUAGAUAAGGCUUGUAUAUUACGAAAUAUUGUCACACCUCUGAGCUUCUACUGUUGUUAGGGACAUCGUAGUGUGAUCUUCAUGAUUUUUCGCUUGAAGAUGUACUGAUUCAUUAUUCAAGCAGAGACCAAAGUCAUCUUUUGCUACUGUUAGCUCUAUGGAUGUGUAUUUGCCUGCAACUUCUGCCAGCUCUAACUUGGUUAUAUAGCAGUUCAAUUCAGUCAAUCUGUUGGAACUAGUUUGUAUAUUACUUGUAUACGAUUUCAUAUCCUGCCAUAUGCCAUUGUCGACUUUCUUAGGUACAUAAUUGUUAUGUCUUGCAAUCUGGUAUUGAUGAUUGUCAAUGUAUUCAUUUAUACCUUUCUAGUGUACCUUGUAUGUGACCCAGCUGAUCUGUAUAUCAAUGCUCUAUUUCCAAUAGAUGUAUGCUGAUGCCUGAUGGUUGAUUCCUUAAAACUUCACUGUUUUAGCAGUAGCAUUUUUCCUUAGUGCAUAGAUGUAUGAGCGAUCACUUAUGCUUGAAACCUUGCUCUCUUUCCCAGGAACCAUCGUGGUCUGUAUCACUACUGGGGCAGGAGAGGAAGGACUGUUGGUGUCUCCAAGAAGAGAUAAACUGCUUCACAAAGAUCCCCGCAUAGCUUCACUACUACUGUGUUGGUCCAUUUCCAGAAUCUUAAGGAGUGUUCUUGUUUAGACGAUUACCUUGGAUGAUGCUUUUGCUUAAGGAGAGGCUCAAGAAGAUCAGGGAGCUCCGCAUCCGAGUUUCAGCCAUCCUCUACAGCCAGGAGCUCUGGGCCAAAGGAGCAAGCAGCACUGCAAGUUCAUUGAGGCCAGAUCGAGUAAGAUGGCACACCAUGGCGUGUGGUGGUGUAUUUUGCUUUCGAGAACAGUACUGUUUAUUUGAAGUGAGAUGUACUCGUCUAGUGGCUGGCAAAAAAUUGAAGGAUGAAGUGUCAUGUACUGUCUGUUGUAGUGAGCUGUUGUAGGAGUGAAACGAAAAUUUAUCUGCUGUUGUAUGUGCUAUUUCCCUGUAAUGUCUUGUGUACAUUUUACUUGAACAUUAAAUUCUUCAGAAAAAAUGUUCUUACUGGA
Molecule: long non-coding RNA, 2643 nt
Organism: Triticum aestivum (bread wheat)
Lineage: Eukaryota; Viridiplantae; Streptophyta; Magnoliopsida; Poales; Poaceae
Exons: 3
Source: RefSeq, a predicted model, not a curated record